RNAcentral lists this ribosomal RNA (441 nucleotides) under uncultured bacterium. RNAcentral's name for it is "SSU rRNA". It matches the Rfam family "Bacterial small subunit ribosomal RNA", at positions 26 to 518 of the family's 1533-position model. The record is from RNAcentral.
AGAACGAACGCUGGCGGCAGGCUUAACACAUGCAAGUCGAACGAGACUUCGGUCUAGUGGCGCACGGGUGAGUAACGCGUGGGAACCUGUCCUAUGGUACGGAAUAACAUCGGGAAACUGGUGCUAAUACCGUAUAAGCCCCGAGGGGGAAAGAUUUAUCGCCAUAGGAGGGGCCCGCGUAGGAUUAGCUAGUUGGUGAGGUAACGGCUCACCAAGGCGACGAUCCUUAGCUGGUCUGAGAGGAUGAUCAGCCACACUGGGACUGAGACACGGCCCAGACUCCUACGGGAGGCAGCAGUGGGGAAUAUUGGACAAUGGGGGAAACCCUGAUCCAGCCAUGCCGCGUGUGUGAUGAAGGCCUUCGGGUUGUAAAGCACUUUCGCACGUGACGAUGAUGACGGUACGUGAGAAGAAGCCCGGCUACUUCGUGCCAGCAGCCGC